RNAcentral lists this ribosomal RNA (270 nucleotides) under uncultured bacterium. RNAcentral describes it as "partial 16S ribosomal RNA". It matches the Rfam family "Bacterial small subunit ribosomal RNA", at positions 29 to 284 of the family's 1533-position model. The record is from RNAcentral.
AACGAACGUUAGCGGCGCGCCUAACACAUGCAAGUCGCACGAGAAAGGGCUUCGGCCCCGGUACAGUGGCGCACGGGUGAGUAACACGUGGGUAAUCUGCCUUCGAGCGGGGGAUAACAUUCCGAAAGGAGUGCUAAUACCGCAUAAGACCACGCCCUCGAAAGAGGAAGCGGUCAAAGCUGGCCUCUAUACAUAAGCUAGCACUCGAAAAUGAGCCCGCGGAGCAUCAGCUAGUUGGUGAGGUAAUGGCUCACCAAGGCUUAGACGCUU